Molecule: long non-coding RNA, 1285 nt
Filed under: Homo sapiens (human)
Lineage: Eukaryota; Metazoa; Chordata; Mammalia; Primates; Hominidae
Description: HSALNT0188435
Source: RNAcentral
CAGGAACCUAGCAAGCUGCCCUCGUCUGAUUUCCCAGGAGUGGAGUUGGUGUCAUGGGGGAGACUGGAGGUGAGGGGUCAGGGGGCAGGAUAAGGUGCCAUCCUGAGCACCCUAUUCUCUGAGAAGCCUUCUCUGACUUCCUCCCAUGGGCAGACCAGCUUUUUCUCCUUGGAGCCACUACCGUAACACAGACAUUCCACCGUGUAGCAUCCGUGUCCAGUGCUGCAGUUACUGCCCAAGCAUCAGUGUCUCUACAAUGCUGUGAGUGCCAAGUGGGUAGAAGCCAUGUGAUAUGCUGCUGUACCCUCAGGCCUAAUACAGUGCUGGGCAUAGACUGUUUCCUGUUUCCUGUUUCCUACGAACACUUGCUGCAUUUGGAGUAGGAACGACAGCCCAGUCAGAGUGAAGAGACCAUGUCUGUUCCCACCUCCAACCAACUACCUGUGUGGACUUCAGCAAGUCACUUCACCUAUGAACCUUUAUCAAAAGGAUAGAACUGAAUUUCCUCUGAAGUUCUUCCGAAACUCAAAAUUCUUAAAGAAGAAAUAAACUUUAUGUAAAUGUCCACUGAAAAACUUUUAUGUAAAUGUCCACUGAAGAACUUGAUUCACCUGCAGCUACCUAAAUAUAAUGUUUCAUUAAUGAAUCACACAUUUCAAAAUGGAAAGAAAAAAAUUCACUGAGAGUAUUUUUUAAAUCUAUUGGAUGUUUAAACCCAGUGCUGAUUUUCCAGUAAACAUCCACACUCAUUUGCCCACAAGACUGAACUUUCUCAGGUGUCCGAUGCUAUGCGUGGUUUGCCCAAAGUUACCAACAGCUGCAAAGUGUUCUUUCCCAUAGCUUUCCACUCUGUGCAUAUUUAUCACUUCCUGUCCGCUUCUGAAAAUAAAAUGUGGAGUUGCAAAAAGUUUCUUAUGGGGGAUAUUUAACCAGCUAUUAAGCCAAAUAAACUUUAUGACAAAAUAAAUGUUAGAAAGUAGGACAAAAUGAUUUUUUUAGAACCUAACUAAAUAUUUAAAUAUUGGAGCGGAUGAUAUAUCAACACCAUGGGAUCUCAUAUAAACCCUAGAAACCUGGAGAUUAUAUUUCAGUAAUGUUUUAAUAAUAAAUAAAUUUGACUUUGAACUGGCUUAACAAAUUGUGUUUGUCAGUCAGAGGAGGCAUAACUAAUAAAUAAGACUGCUUAAAUGCUCUUUUUAAAAUGACUACUAUGUGAAGAAAUGUGGCCUGGAUCACAGAUAUAUUAAGUGGUCAAUAGCAAAAUUAAUAUGGGGUUUCCAUGAAC